Molecule: non-coding RNA, 378 nt
Organism: Megalobrama amblycephala (Wuchang bream)
Lineage: Eukaryota; Metazoa; Chordata; Actinopteri; Cypriniformes; Xenocyprididae
Source: the annotation of a RefSeq genome assembly
AUGACCUUCAUCAUCAUCUUCAUCUGGACUCUCACAGCGUUUGCUCAAGAGUGUAGAGGACAGAUCACCGUCACUCAGAGUCCCUCAAUGACAGCAGCUCAACCAGGACAAACUGUGAACAUCAACUGUAAAACCAGCAGUGAUGUGCUCAGAUGGAGUGAUGGGACAAACCAUUUCAGCUGGUACUCACAAAAAUAUGGAGAAGCUCCUAAACUCCUGAUUUAUUGGGCAAACCUCCUCCAGUCAGGAACUCCAUCUAGAUUCAGUGGCAGUGGAUCUAACAGUGAUUUCACUCUGACCAUCAGUGGAGUCCAGACUGAAGAUGCUGGACAUUAUUACUGUCAGAGUUAUCACAGUGGUGAUGUGUUCACACAGUGA